AGUGAACGCUGGCGGUAGGCCUAACACAUGCAAGUCGAACGGCAGCACAGUAAGAGCUUGCUCUUACGGGUGGCGAGUGGCGGACGGGGGAGGAAUACAUCGGAAUCUACUUUGUCGUGGGGGAUAACGUAGGGGAACUUACGCUAAUACCGCAUACGACGUACGGGUGAAAGCAGGGGAUCUUCGGACCUUGCGCGAGUGAAUGAGCCGAUGUCGGAUUAGCUAGUUGGCGGGGUAAAGGCCCACCAAGGCGACGAUCCGUAGCUGGUCUGAGAGGAUGAUCAGUCACACUGGAACUGAGACACGGUCCAGACUCCUACGGGAGGCAGCAGUGGGGAAUAUUGGACAAUGGGCGCAAGCCUGAUCCAGCCAUGCCGCGUGGGUGAAGAAGGCCUUCGGGUUGUAAAGCCCUUUUGUUGGGAAAGAAAAGCAGCAGGUUAAUACCCCGCUGUUCUGACGGUACCCAAAGAAUAAGCACCGGCUAACUUCGUG
RNAcentral lists this ribosomal RNA (492 nucleotides) under uncultured bacterium. RNAcentral describes it as "partial 16S ribosomal RNA". It matches the Rfam family "Bacterial small subunit ribosomal RNA", at positions 29 to 507 of the family's 1533-position model. The record is from RNAcentral.